RNAcentral lists this ribosomal RNA (372 nucleotides) under uncultured bacterium. Its description in RNAcentral is "bacterial SSU rRNA". It matches the Rfam family "Bacterial small subunit ribosomal RNA", at positions 524 to 898 of the family's 1533-position model. The record is from RNAcentral.
UACGGAGGAUGCAGGCGUUAUCCGGAUUUAUUAGGUUUAAAGGGUGCGUAGGCGGCUUGAUAAGUCAGGGGUGAAAUCUACCAGCUUAACUGGUAGUUUGCCUUUGAUACUGUUGAGCUAGAGUACGAACGAGGUAGGCGGAAUGUGCAGUGUAGCGGUGAAAUGCUUAGAUAUUGCACAGAACACCGAUUGCGGAGGCAGCUUACUAGGCCGUUACUGACGCUGAUGCACGAAAGCGUGGGGAUCAAACAGGAUUAGAUACCCUGGUAGUCCACGCCGUAAACGAUGAUCACUUGCUGUUGGCGAUAGAUAGUCAGUGGCAAAGGGAAACCGAUAAGUGAUCCACCUGGGGAGUACGUUCGCAAGAAUGAA